Molecule: ribosomal RNA, 465 nt
Filed under: Vreelandella stevensii
Lineage: Bacteria; Pseudomonadati; Pseudomonadota; Gammaproteobacteria; Oceanospirillales; Halomonadaceae
Description: partial 16S ribosomal RNA
Rfam family: Bacterial small subunit ribosomal RNA
Source: RNAcentral
CCUACGGGUGGCAGCAGUGGGGAAUAUUGGACAAUGGGCGAAAGCCUGAUCCAGCCAUGCCGCGUGUGCGAAGAAGGCCUUCGGGUUGUAAAGCACUUUCAGUGGGGAAGAAAGCCUUGGGGCUAAUACCCUCGAGGAAGGACAUCACCCACAGAAGAAGCACCGGCUAACUCCGUGCCAGCAGCCGCGGUAAUACGGAGGGUGCGAGCGUUAAUCGGAAUUACUGGGCGUAAAGCGCGCGUAGGCGGUCUGAUAAGCCGGUUGUGAAAGCCCCGGGCUCAACCUGGGAACGGCAUCCGGAACUGUCAGGCUAGAGUGCAGGAGAGGAAGGUAGAAUUCCCGGUGUAGCGGUGAAAUGCGUAGAGAUCGGGAGGAAUACCAGUGGCGAAGGCGGCCUUCUGGACUGACACUGACGCUGAGGUGCGAAAGCGUGGGUAGCAAACAGGAUUAGAUACCCUAGUAGUC